GCGGGAGUAGCUCAGUGGUAGAGCUCCUGCCUUCCAAGCAGGAUGUCGAGGGUUCGAAUCCCUUCUCCCGCUCCA
RNAcentral lists this transfer RNA (75 nucleotides) under Chloroflexota bacterium. RNAcentral describes it as "Chloroflexi bacterium (freshwater metagenome) tRNA-Gly". It matches the Rfam family "tRNA". From Rfam's summary of the family: Transfer RNA (tRNA) molecules are approximately 80 nucleotides in length. Their secondary structure includes four short double-helical elements and three loops (D, anti-codon, and T loops). Lineage: Bacteria; Bacillati; Chloroflexota. The record is from RNAcentral.